Molecule: ribosomal RNA, 465 nt
Filed under: uncultured bacterium
Lineage: Bacteria
Description: partial 16S ribosomal RNA
Rfam family: Bacterial small subunit ribosomal RNA
Source: RNAcentral
CCUACGGGAGGCAGCAGUGGGGAAUAUUGCGCAAUGGGCGAAAGCCUGACGCAGCGACGCCGCGUGGGGGAUGAAGGUCUUCGGAUCGUAAACCUCUGUCAGCAGGGAAGAACGGUCACUGUGCUAAUCAGGAGUGAAUUGACGGUACCUGCACAGGAAGCACCGGCUAACUCCGUGCCAGCAGCCGCGGUAAUACGGAGGGUGCGAGCGUUCAUAGGAAUUACUGGGCGUAAAGCGCUCGUAGGCGGUAUGUCAAGUCAAGGGUGAAAUCCCCGCGCUCAACGUGGGAACUGCCUUUGAAACUGGCAAACUUGAGUGUGUGAGAGGAUAGUGGAAUUCCAGGUGUAGGAGUGAAAUCCGUAGAUAUCUGGAGGAACAUCAGUGGCGAAGGCGACUAUCUGGCACAUAACUGACGCUGAGGAGCGAAAGCGUGGGGAGCAAACAGGAUUAGAUACCCGAGUAGUC